AUUGAACGCUGGCGGAAUGCUUUACACAUGCAAGUCGAACGGCAGCACGGGGGCAACCCUGGUGGCGAGUGGCGAACGGGUGAGUAAUACAUCGGAACGUGCCCAGUCGUGGGGGAUAACGUAGCGAAAGUUACGCUAAUACCGCAUACGAUCUACGGAUGAAAGCGGGGGACCGUAAGGCCUCGCGCGAUUGGAGCGGCCGAUGUCAGAUUAGGUAGUUGGUGAGGUAAAGGCUCACCAAGCCGACGAUCUGUAGCUGGUCUGAGAGGACGACCAGCCACACUGGGACUGAGACACGGCCCAGACUCCUACGGGAGGCAGCAGUGGGGAAUUUUGGACAAUGGGCGCAAGCCUGAUCCAGCCAUUCCGCGUGCAGGACGAAGGUCUUCGGGUUGUAAACUGCUUUUGUAUGGAACGAAAAGGCUCUGGUUAAUACCUGGGGCUCAUGACGGUACCGUAAGAAUAGGCACCGGCUAACUACGUGCCAGCAGCCGCGGUAA
Molecule: ribosomal RNA, 500 nt
Filed under: uncultured bacterium
Lineage: Bacteria
Description: partial 16S ribosomal RNA
Rfam family: Bacterial small subunit ribosomal RNA
Source: RNAcentral